AGCAGGAAUCAAUGUCUGCUCAGGUGAUUUUUUAAACUGCAGAAUGAUUAUUAUCUAAUUGGAUUGUUAUAUGGCAAUGAAGUCCUGUUCAACUUUCCUCUAUAUUAUUCUUCUUCUUAAGUGAAUGUAUGAUAAACAUGAAUGUUUAAAUUGAUUUUUAAUACCAGCCAGUGUCUCUGCUACCAAAAUAUUAGUGCAAAGCCAUACUACAACACAGUUUGUUCCAGGUCCAGGAUAUGCAUUUAUAUUUUUAUGGUGCUCUUGAUUUCCAUGAGUCACGAAAUAGGUUAACAAGCUGAGCACCUUUUAUCUUGAAUUAAGUUAACAUGGAAUAAAUUAGAGAUUGUAGUAGUAAAUUACAAGUUAUGAAGUAUGCAUGUGUGUGCAAUUACAUAUGUACAUGCAUGUUAUACCUUUUUACUGCAAUAAACAUGUAUUUGGAUAUUUCAAAUUUAACUGCAAUUAAUGGUGGACUUAUAUCCUCUGAUUACAGUAUGCCAUUGUCUUUGUAAUCAGUUCCCUUUUUUACCGCUAUUUGAAUUUAAACUGUAAACAUCAGUUAGUAAUUUUUGCCUUGUACUAGUAUUUUUCUAAUGAUACGUAUCUAAGCUUAAGGUAUUGGUAAUAAUUAAGCCAAUUAAAGUUGCAUUGUGGAAAUUGUGGCGCAGUUUUUGUUUUAACGUCAAGAGUGAAUUCUUCCUCCAUGUCUCCAUGCUAUUUUCAUCAUAGAUUCCAGAUAGGAAUUUUUGUUUUUUUCCGUGGGAAAGAUGAAUAAUUAU
This 779-nucleotide unclassified non-coding RNA is filed under the name Hevea brasiliensis (rubber tree). The record is from RNAcentral. Lineage: Eukaryota; Viridiplantae; Streptophyta; Magnoliopsida; Malpighiales; Euphorbiaceae.